UCCCUGAUAGCUCAGUUGGUAAAGAAUCUGCCUGCAACGCAGGACACCCCGGUUUGAUUCCUGGGUUGGGAA
This 72-nucleotide transfer RNA is filed under the name Ovis aries (sheep). It matches the Rfam family "tRNA". Rfam says of the family: Transfer RNA (tRNA) molecules are approximately 80 nucleotides in length. The record is from Rfam by way of RNAcentral. Lineage: Eukaryota; Metazoa; Chordata; Mammalia; Artiodactyla; Bovidae.